GCCACGCCCGCUCAAGAAACUCAAAUGAAUUGACGGGGGCCCGCACAAGCGGAGGAGCAUGUGGUUUAAUUCGAUGAUACGCGAGGAACCUUACCUGGGCUCGAACGUAAGAUGACUGUAGGUGAAAGCUUACAUCUCUUCGGAGCAUUUUACGAGGUGCUGCAUGGUUGUCGUCAGCUCGUGCCGUGAGGUGUCGGGUUAAGUCCCAUAACGAGCGCAACCCCUACCUUUAGUUGCCAUCAGGUAAUGCUGGGGACUCUAAAGGAACUGCCUACGCAAGUAGUGAGGAAGGCGGGGAUGACGUCAAAUCAGCACGGCCCUUACGUCCAGGGCUACACACGUGCUACAAUGGCCGAUACAGAGGGCAGCUACCUGGUGACAGGAUGCAAAUCUCCAAAGUCGGUCUCAGUUCGGAUCGGAGUCUGCAACCCGACUCCGUAAAGUUGGAUUCGCUAGUAAUCGCGCAUCAGCCAUGGCGCGGUGAAUACGUUCCCGGGCCUU
This 501-nucleotide ribosomal RNA is filed under the name uncultured Sphingobacteriales bacterium. RNAcentral describes it as "bacterial SSU rRNA". It matches the Rfam family "Bacterial small subunit ribosomal RNA", at positions 903 to 1382 of the family's 1533-position model. Lineage: Bacteria; Pseudomonadati; Bacteroidota; Sphingobacteriia; Sphingobacteriales. The record is from RNAcentral.